CGGGCUGUGGCGCAGUUUGGUAGCGCACCUGCUUUGGGAGCAGGGGGCCGCGGGUUCAAAUCCCGCCAGCCCGACCG
RNAcentral lists this transfer RNA (77 nucleotides) under Actinomyces oris. Its description in RNAcentral is "tRNA-Pro". It matches the Rfam family "tRNA". From Rfam's summary of the family: Transfer RNA (tRNA) molecules are approximately 80 nucleotides in length. Their secondary structure includes four short double-helical elements and three loops (D, anti-codon, and T loops). Further hydrogen bonds mediate the characteristic L-shaped molecular structure. tRNAs have two regions of fundamental functional importance: the anti-codon, which is responsible for specific mRNA codon recognition, and the 3' end, to which the tRNAs corresponding amino acid is attached (by aminoacyl-tRNA synthetases). tRNAs cope with the degeneracy of the genetic code in two manners: having more than one tRNA (with a specific anti-codon) for a particular amino acid; and 'wobble' base-pairing, i.e. permitting non-standard base-pairing at the 3rd anti-codon position. Lineage: Bacteria; Bacillati; Actinomycetota; Actinomycetes; Actinomycetales; Actinomycetaceae. RNAcentral also lists the same sequence under 4 other names. The record is from RNAcentral.